GGGGAUAUAGCUCAGUGGUAGAGUGUGUGUCUAGCAUGCUUGAGUUCCUGGGUUUAAUCCCCAGUAUCACCA
RNAcentral lists this transfer RNA (72 nucleotides) under Camelus bactrianus (Bactrian camel). It matches the Rfam family "tRNA". From Rfam's summary of the family: Transfer RNA (tRNA) molecules are approximately 80 nucleotides in length. RNAcentral also lists the same sequence under 2 other names. Lineage: Eukaryota; Metazoa; Chordata; Mammalia; Artiodactyla; Camelidae. The record is from Rfam by way of RNAcentral.